AUCAGGUAGUAGUGGGUGUAGCGUACCUACUAGCCUACGACGGGUACGGGUUGUGAGAGCAAGAGCCCGGAGAUGGAUUCUGAGACACGAAUCCAGGCCCUACGGGGUGCAGCAGGCGCGAAAACUUUACAAUGCUGGAAACAGCGAUAAGGGGACCUCGAGUGCCAGGUUACAAAUCUGGCUGUCGUGAUGCCUAAAAAGCAUUGCAUAGCAAGGGCCGGGCAAGACCGGUGCCAGCCGCCGCGGUAACACCGGCGGCUCGAGUGGUAACCGUUAUUAUUGGGUCUAAAGGGUCUGUAGCCGGCCGGAUAAGUCUCUUGGGAAAUCCAGCAGCUUAACUGUUGGGCUUUCAGGAGAUACUGUCUGGCUCGAGGCCGGGAGAGGCGAGAGGUACUUCAGGGGUAGGGGUGAAAUCUUGUAAUCCUUGAAGGACCACCAGUGGCGAAGGCGUCUCACCAGAACGGACCUGACGGCAAGGGACGAAAGCUAGGGGCACGAACCGGAUUAGAUACCCGGGUAGUCCUAGCCGUAAACGAUACUCGCUAGGUGUCGGCCACGGUGCGACCGUUGUCGGUGCCGUAGGGAAGCCGUGAAGCGAGCCACCUGGGAAGUACGGCCGCAAGGCUGAAACUUAAAGGAAUUGGCGGGGGAGCACA
This 656-nucleotide ribosomal RNA is filed under the name uncultured archaeon. RNAcentral describes it as "bacterial SSU rRNA". It matches the Rfam family "Archaeal small subunit ribosomal RNA", at positions 224 to 880 of the family's 1478-position model. The record is from RNAcentral.